GGGGAUUUAGCUCAGUGGUAGAGCACUUGCCUAGCAAGCACAAGGCCCUGGGUUCGGUCUCCAGCUCCG
This is a non-coding RNA of Rattus norvegicus (Norway rat), 69 nucleotides long. The record is from Rfam. Lineage: Eukaryota; Metazoa; Chordata; Mammalia; Rodentia; Muridae.